Long non-coding RNA from Ctenopharyngodon idella (grass carp), 319 nucleotides. RefSeq lists it as uncharacterized. The transcript has 2 exons. Lineage: Eukaryota; Metazoa; Chordata; Actinopteri; Cypriniformes; Xenocyprididae. The record is from RefSeq and is a predicted model, not a curated record.
UGGCAGUUUCAUGGCCGUCAAACGAAUGCGCGACCAGGGCUGAAACACGACAUCUCUGUCAUAUGUUAUGGCAAGCCGAUAAUAUGUAACAAAGUUGUUGUGCGCUUCACUGACUACAAUAUGAGCGCUGUUGAUCUAGUGCGCUAUGCGUUAGACGGUUGAAACUUAAAUGCCUGACAGAUGAGAUGGCACAAGAUUCCCAUUUGCUGCUGUUGCUGCUCCGGUCACGUCCUAAAACAUUUAGCCUACUAAAUGUUUUGGAGUAUUUUAUGAUGGUAAAAGACUGACUUGCCAUUGAAUAAAAUAUAUUGUAUAUGAA